AUGGCCGCUCCACCCCACCACCGCCACCCCAAUCGUGAUGUGCCCUCGCCACCGCAACCAACCACCGCACCCCCACCUACACCCCCAGCCACCGCGAGUCCCCGACCCCUGCCUUCGUCGCCCCCAACGCCACACCGCAGCACCACCGAGCAUACAGCUGACACAGAUCUAGGUCGCCGCCGACCGGCCCCAUCGCCGAGCCACUCCACCGCCGACCACUGUCCUCCGCCUAACGCUCCAUUGCCACCACCAUACUCUGCGAGCUUCCUCCCCCGAGCAGGACUUGUCACCGGUGCACCGACCAAGGCCGCCUCCUCUUUGUCCUCUGCCCCAAGCAACGGAGCGUCCAUCCCCUCCCGCGAGCAGCUCUGCCUCCUCUACUUCCUUGUCCCAAAGAGAGCAUUUGAUAGGGAUCAAGUUGUUGGGUGGCCGCCUCGUGGGAGCUACCGGAAGAACACACUAGCCGCCAAUGCUACAAAGACCAAGGUGGAGAACAAAGGUAAAAGCAAGGCAUGA
Molecule: ribosomal RNA, 516 nt
Filed under: Triticum aestivum (bread wheat)
Lineage: Eukaryota; Viridiplantae; Streptophyta; Magnoliopsida; Poales; Poaceae
Description: partial small subunit ribosomal RNA
Source: RNAcentral